Molecule: non-coding RNA, 765 nt
Organism: Macaca mulatta (Rhesus monkey)
Lineage: Eukaryota; Metazoa; Chordata; Mammalia; Primates; Cercopithecidae
Source: RefSeq, a predicted model, not a curated record
GCGAGAGCGCGCCGCAGCCCCACUGCCGCGGUGUUCGCACCGCCGGUACAUCCUGCCCUGCUAGGGGGCGGGAUCGUGGAACGCCUCGUAGAACUGCACGCAAGCAAAAACAAAGCCAUCUCUCCGAAGCAGAAAUGGAACAGACGUGGCCGGGGAAAGCCAAAUAUUUGUGAGAUGAUGUGAACAAAGGGGAAAAGUCAAUCUAGGAAAGUUUGAGUUUCUGGUUGGAGCCUUCAACGGCUCUGAACGGUUGAUUGGAAAGGUCUCUCUCCUGGAUAACAACAAUUCAAUGUGCCUUGACAUUUUAAUAGCCUGCCGUCCUGGUGAACACAAUCGAGCAAGGCAGUGAAGCAAAAAUCAUUAGGUGGCUGGACUUAGACACAUCACGCUCCAGUUUGGGUUCCAAGGUGCUUCUCUCUGGAUUUUCACCUGCCUUGCCAAAAAUGAUUGAUUACGCUGGGCCAACUGGGUGUCCGGCAAUACCCAACAAAUGACUUUGGCCCCUAACAGCAGGCCUUGGCCAGAUAGAAAUCAAUAUUUCACCAUUAAAAUCUAUCAAAGAAGAGUUAAGGCACCAUCUGUCCCUGCCGCCUCUCUAUGGUGUGUGAACAUUAAAUCCGACACUUGUACUACAUGGGUAAUCAAUAUAUAGUGGUUCACAGAUCAUUUGUGGUCCCCUUUUAGCAGUGAUGGAUGUCUGGAAUCGUUGUGAUUCAUUUUGUCAGACCAUUAAACAAGAUUCUGUCCAGUUCCUUCCUGAUUUCA